Molecule: ribosomal RNA, 451 nt
Filed under: uncultured bacterium
Lineage: Bacteria
Description: partial 16S ribosomal RNA
Rfam family: Bacterial small subunit ribosomal RNA
Source: RNAcentral
GUGGGGAAUAAUGGACAAUGGGCGAAAGCCUGAUCCAGCCAUGCCGCGUGUGUGAAGAAGGCCUUUUGGUUGUAAAGCACUUUAAGCGAGGAGGAGGCUACCGAGAUUAAUACUCUUGGAUAGUGGACGUUACUCGCAGAAUAAGCACCGGCUAACUCUGUGCCAGCAGCCGCGGUAAUACAGAGGGUGCGAGCGUUAAUCGGAUUUACUGGGCGUAAAGCGUGCGUAGGCGGAUUUUUAAGUCGGAUGUGAAAUCCCUGAGCUUAACUUAGGAAUUGCAUUCGAUACUGGGAAGCUAGAGUAAGGGAGAGGAUGGUAGAAUUCCAGGUGUAGCGGUGAAAUGCGUAGAGAUCUGGAGGAAUACCGAUGGCGAAGGCAGCCAUCUGGCCUAAUACUGACGCUGAGGUACGAAAGCAUGGGGAGCAAACAGGAUUAGAAACCCGUGUAGUCC